This is a long non-coding RNA of Anoplophora glabripennis (Asian longhorned beetle), 416 nucleotides long. RefSeq lists it as uncharacterized. The transcript is spliced from 2 exons. NCBI's taxonomy places the organism in Eukaryota, Metazoa, Arthropoda, Insecta, Coleoptera, Cerambycidae. The record is from RefSeq and is a predicted model, not a curated record.
CCACUUCCAAGUUUGCUCAGAAUACAAAUAAGUAUCUGCUCCGAGGUGUCUUGCAAAAACCCUUUCUGCAGUUUUCCAGUUACAACUAUGCAAUGUGGAAGUUUUGUGUUUUACAAGAAUUCACCACUACAUUACCUACACUUCUACCGAGGAACCCAGGAAGCCACCAGUUAAAGUGAUUAAAGGACAAGUGAUUUUCGCGAGUGCAGGUUAUAAAAUUGUGAAAUUUCCCUUGAGGUUAAAGGUUUCAUUGAUACGGAACCUGUCCCAAAAACUUAGUCUUUUUUUAUUCAAGUUGUUUAUUUUUCACAGCAGGGAUAUGUGAUUAUUAUUUAACCAUUUUCGCCUUCCAUGUAGUAACUUCAACUGCACUAAUUCUAAGAAAACUAUGGCAAAUAAAGUUAUUCCAAACUACA